Molecule: ribosomal RNA, 274 nt
Filed under: uncultured prokaryote
Description: partial 16S ribosomal RNA
Rfam family: Bacterial small subunit ribosomal RNA
Source: RNAcentral
UACGUAGGGGCAAGCGUUAUCCGGAUUUACUGGGUGUAAAGGGAGCGCAGACGGCAGAGCAAGUCUGAUGUGAAAGCCCGGGGCUCAACCCCGGAACUGCAUUGGAAACUGUUGAGCUUGAGUGUCGGAGGGGUAAGCGGAAUUCCUAGUGUAGCGGUGAAAUGCGUAGAUAUUAGGAGGAACACCGGUGGCGAAGGCGGCUUACUGGACGAUCACUGACGUUGAGGCUCGAAAGCGUGGGGAGCAAACAGGAUUAGAUACCCUGGUAGUCCCU